AACGAACGCUGGCGGCAUGCCUAACACAUGCAAGUCGAACGAGACCUUCGGGUCUAGUGGCGCACGGGUGCGUAACGCGUGGGAACCUGCCCUUAGGUUCGGAAUAACUCCCCGAAAGGGGUGCUAAUACCGGAUAAUGUCUUCGGACCAAAGAUUUAUCGCCUUUGGAUGGGCCCGCGUUGGAUUAGCUAGUUGGUAGGGUAAAAGCCUACCAAGGCGACGAUCCAUAGCUGGUCUGAGAGGAUGAUCAGCCACACUGGGACUGAGACACGGCCCAGACUCCUACGGGAGGCAGCAGUGGGGAAUAUUGGACAAUGGGCGAAAGCCUGAUCCAGCAAUGCCGCGUGAGUGAUGGAGGCCUUAGGGUUGUAAAGCUCUUUUACCCGGGAUGAUAAUGACAGUACCGGGAGAAUAAGCUCCGGCUAACUCCGU
RNAcentral lists this ribosomal RNA (432 nucleotides) under uncultured bacterium. RNAcentral's name for it is "partial 16S ribosomal RNA". It matches the Rfam family "Bacterial small subunit ribosomal RNA", at positions 29 to 506 of the family's 1533-position model. The record is from RNAcentral.